CGACAGUGGCAGCUACUUCUGCAGGGCCUCAAACAUCCACCUUCAAAGGUUCCUCACAUCCAGGAGAGUGACUAUAUCUGUGCUUGUACCUCCAUCAGUGAAGCUGUGGCCACAGGCCUUGACGGUGCCUGUGGGAGCUCGGGUGGUGUUGGAGUGCCAAGUAUCCGGCCACCCUCCACCUUCCAUGAGCUGGGUUAAAAAAGGCUACUCCAAGCAGACGGGGGGCAAAGUAGCACUGGGGCUGAGAAAUGCCACUCUCUCCAUUCAGUCAGCCAGGAGCUUUGAUGAGGGGGCUUAUGUGUGCGAGGCCUCCAACAGUCUGGGACAAAGCAGAAGCACAGCACUGCUUAGAGUCACAGUGAGCCCAGUCAUAGUAACCUUCAUGGACCAGUUGAGCUGCGUGAUUGGUAUUUCAGUAUCUCUACCCUGCAGAGCAGUUGGUGUUCAUCCCAUUACAUACACUUGGUCCAGGGGCGGAGCACAGAUAAAGUCCUCCAUCAACACCUCAGAAGAUGGAACCUUAAACAUUCCCACUGUGCAACACUCAGAUUCAGGUGAGUAUUACUGUACAGCAGAGAACCGAGCUGGACGGCAGCAGAGACGCACCAUUCUCUCUAUCAGAGAUGAAGAUCAUCCAGAGGAUAGAAAUGUGCAGACACAACAAAUGUUGUCUACCGCCACUAACACAGGAUCCGGUUCCAACAGAACAUCUACGUUUCCAACAUUUCUGAGGAAAGUUGAGCUUGCAGUCUCACCAAACCAUCUUCUCCAUCAUCACCUGAAUCCUCCAACAUCCAGUCCAUCUCUACUAAUGCAGCCUCCAAUUCUACCUCCCCCUCCUCGACCAAACUUUCAGGCAGUUGGUCUUCUUUCACAACAAGCAGCAAACAGUCAUCCAAAUUCAAACCUUCGUGCAAAAGUAACAAGUUUGAGAUCAGUUAAUCACAGGGAAGAUUUGGGUCCAACAAACCUUCUUCCCAACAGAGAGUCUCCGAUAUUAAAUCAAUCUCAGCGAGAGAGUGGUAAUAAAUCUUAUAUAGAAGUUGAAAAUCCAGGUUCUCCGGUCAGUCGGGUGACGAAUGUGUCUCCCUUGCUUAGAACAUCUCGCUUUCUUAAGAUUAAUUCCUUCACAAAGACGGCAACAAUAAGCCCUGGAACAGAAACUAUGAUGAAAUAUCCAGGAACGGAAGUGUCUUCACAAGCCUCACAGAUAUACCUUGGCACGCCAUCAUUCCAGAUAGAAAGUCAUUUGUCAACUUAUCCAACUUUAUCCCAACCAUCCUACGCUCCUCCUCAAGAAUACUUUCCGCCAAGUUAUAGUCCCACAGUCCCAAAUUAUUUGCCUUUUACCCAACCAAUGACUUCUACAGUCACCAAACUUCAACCAAUCACAUUAAACAAUCGAUUCUCAACUAGUGUCAAAGUUACUCAAAGUCAAUCACAUGUAUCUCCAACCCAAUACUCACAACUGUCACCAACCACUGCUGCGCCAGAUCUAAACUCCAACUUGUCAAUAUUUAAUCUGACGAAUGAACUAAACCUGACCCAGCCAGGUUCCCCCUUUCCGUCAACCAAAACAUCCAAUGGUACAGAGCCAACAAGUUGGCAGAUGAAGAACACCUCACACUCCCCUGUGACCAGCAAUAACCCGAGAGGUACUCAAAAGUCCCCUCCAUGGCUACCUGUGCUGGAGAAACACGACAUCCCUAUUGUUGUGGGAGUUGGAGUUUCUUUAGCCUUCAUCUUCAUCACAGUCCUUUUUUAUUCAGUAGUCCAGAAGAAUGAACCUGUACCGAACUGCAGAGCAGUGCAAAGAAACGUAGGUGCCCCAACACGUCACGCAGAUCAUCGAGCUGCAGGACGAACAUAUGAAAAUAGAGCUUUUGAAGAUGAUGACUGUGUGACAGUGAUCGAGCAAAGUCCUAACAUGUCAGACACCCGAGCUCGCCCUCCUGGGCCCAGUUUGGUCACGGUGCAGAUGGAACCCACUUUUGAGAACUGUCAAGGGAACACACAGCGUACUAUGGAUGAGCACUCGGUCACUGUAGAAACGUAUCCAGAGCCCAUUGAGGAAACAAAGAUCGACCCUGGUUUGGACGAGGAGAAGGAAGGCAGUUUGUCCCAGCCCAGUAUCCAGCUGCACUGUGCAGAAGACUGGACCAGCACCAGGGACGACAAUCCCAGUCCGUGCCACGAUGCUCUGCCUCCCCCGUUCUCCCUACCCUCUCGUUCUCCGUCCCUUUCUUCCCCCUCCAGACACAGGGACAGCCUGCACUCAUCUUUAACCCUUCACAGUGCUGAACCCUGCGUAGCCCCCAUCCAUCACAGCCUCAGUAUCUCCCGUGGCAACCCCCCAUUACUGCUGUCCCACAACGUCUCUCUGGGCCUUACAACGGUAGCUGUAGAUGUCCAUUUCUACCCAUCUGCCACUGUUUCAAUGGCAGUGGAAACCAGUACGCACAUCAAUUCAGUCUCAAAUUCCACUUCAGUGACUGCUCCUCUGUUUGGUCCAUCAGUGAACAGCCAGGAGGAAGACCAGUCAACGUCCAAGUACCAGCCCAAGUAGACACAGACUGUUUUUCUACAAAUAUGUGAUGUAAGAGUUCUUUAUGAAUUUUUGCAGCGACUAUGAAAUAAAACAUCUGUUUUGGAAAAUAAACUAUUUGGG
This 2668-nucleotide long non-coding RNA is filed under the name Gouania willdenowi (blunt-snouted clingfish). RNAcentral's name for it is "lncRNA (ENSGWIG00000022325.1)". Lineage: Eukaryota; Metazoa; Chordata; Actinopteri; Blenniiformes; Gobiesocidae. The record is from RNAcentral.